GACGUUUAGCUGCAGAAGAAGCACCGGCUAACUCCGUGCCAGCAGCCGCGGUAAUACGGAGGGUGCGAGCGUUUAAUCGGAAUUACUGGGCGUAAAGCGCAUGCAGGUGGUUUGUUAAGUCAGAUGUGAAAGCCCGGGGCUCAACCUCGGAAUUGCAUUUGAAACUGGCAAACUAGAGUACUGUAGAGGGGGUAGAAUUUCAGGUGUAGCGGUGAAAUGCGUAGAGAUCUGAAGGAAUACCGGUGGCGAAGGCGGCCCCCUGGACAGAUACUGACACUCAGAUGCGAAAGCGUGGGGAGCAAACAGGAUUAGAUACCCUGGUAG
This 324-nucleotide ribosomal RNA is filed under the name uncultured bacterium. RNAcentral's name for it is "bacterial SSU rRNA". It matches the Rfam family "Bacterial small subunit ribosomal RNA", at positions 471 to 793 of the family's 1533-position model. The record is from RNAcentral.